Molecule: long non-coding RNA, 805 nt
Filed under: Citrus x clementina
Lineage: Eukaryota; Viridiplantae; Streptophyta; Magnoliopsida; Sapindales; Rutaceae
Description: Citrus clementina (C. clementina) long non-coding RNA (CCLE_LNC001222)
Source: RNAcentral
GGCAAUAGCCUUGGGGGGUGGGGCUGGCCAAAUUCGUCCGCCGGACUGGGAAUGCCGCGAGACUUUGCGAGGGGCCUCCGUGUGCCAAAAAUAGGCCACGGCCAAAGCCGCGCCCAAAAUUAACCCCCCGAAGGCUGGGGCGCCAAGUUCCUCCUGCGGAAAAAGGCCACAAAAACGGGUGGGCUAUAGCCUUGGGGGUUGAUGCCGGCCCACUUCAUCCGCCGGACUCGGAAUGCCGCGAGACUUUGCGAGGGGCCUCCGUGUGCCAAAAAUAGGCCGCGGCCAAAAAUAACCGCCCAACGGCCGCGGCGCCAAGUUCGUCGAGCGGAAAAAGGCCACAAAAACGGGUGGGCUAUAGCCUUGGGGGGUGGGGCUGGCCAACUUCGUCCGCCGGACUCAGAAUUCUGCGAGGCUUUGCGAGGGGCCUCCGUGUGCCAAAAAUAGGCCACGGCCAAUGUCGCGUCCAAAAAUAACCGCCCGAAGGCCGGGGCGCCAAGUUCGUCCAGCGGAAAAAGGCCACAAAAACGGGUGGGCUAUAGCCUUGGGGGGUGGGGCUGGCCCACUUCGUCCGCCGGACUGGGAAUGCCGCGAGACUUUACGAGGGGCCUCCGUGUGCCAAAAUAGGCGACGGAUAAAGCUGCGCCCAAAAAUAACCGCCCGAAGGCCGAGGCGCCAAGUUCGUCCAGCGGAAAAAGGCCACAAAAACGGGUGGGCUAUAGCCUUGGGGGGUGGGGCUGGCCCACUUCGUCCGCCGGACUGGGAAUGCCGCGAGACAUUGCGAGGGGCCUCCGUGUGCCAAAAAUAG